RNAcentral lists this ribosomal RNA (292 nucleotides) under uncultured bacterium. RNAcentral describes it as "partial 16S ribosomal RNA". It matches the Rfam family "Bacterial small subunit ribosomal RNA", at positions 505 to 796 of the family's 1533-position model. The record is from RNAcentral.
GUGCCAGCCGCCGCGGUAAUACGGAGGGUGCAAGCGUUGUCCGGAAUCACUGGGCGUAAAGGAUGCGCAGGCGGGGCAGCAAGUCAGAGGUGAAAUCCUGCGGCUUAACCGCAGAAGUGCCUUUGAAACUGCUGCUCUUGAGUCCUGGAGAGGUUGCCGGAAUUCGUGGUGUAGCGGUGAAAUGCGUAGAUAUCACGAGGAACACCAGAGGCGAAAGCGGGCAACUGGACAGGUACUGACGCUGAGGCAUGAGAGCGUGGGGAGCAAACAGGAUUAGAAACCCGAGUAGUCC